AGGUCAAGCUAAUAAGAGCACAAGGGGAAUGCCUUGGCAUCAGGAGCCGAAGAAGGACGCGACAAG
This 66-nucleotide ribosomal RNA is filed under the name Clostridia bacterium. Its description in RNAcentral is "partial 23S ribosomal RNA". Lineage: Bacteria; Bacillati; Bacillota; Clostridia. The record is from RNAcentral.